Molecule: small nucleolar RNA, 121 nt
Organism: Caenorhabditis elegans
Lineage: Eukaryota; Metazoa; Nematoda; Chromadorea; Rhabditida; Rhabditidae
Source: Ensembl
UAGGCCGCUGCUGACGUACUUCUUCGAUCAUGUCCGAUUGCGUCCUUGUGUCCUUUGGUGAUCGUUGUCUUGCGGCGGUGUGCGGCUUCAUGAUGAGACAUCGCCCACGGCUCCAAUUUUU